GACGAACGCUGGCGGCGUGCUUAACACAUGCAAGUCGAACGGAAAGGCCCUGCUUUUGUGGGGUGCUCGAGUGGCGAACGGGUGAGUAACACGUGAGUAACCUGCCCUUGACUUUGGGAUAACUUCAGGAAACUGGGGCUAAUACCGGAUAGGAGCUCCUGCUGCAUGGUGGGGGUUGGAAAGUUUCGGCGGUUGGGGAUGGACUCGCGGCUUAUCAGCUUGUUGGUGGGGUAGUGGCUUACCAAGGCUUUGACGGGUAGCCGGCCUGAGAGGGUGACCGGCCACAUUGGGACUGAGAUACGGCCCAGACUCCUACGGGAGGCAGCAGUGGGGAAUAUUGCAAAAUGGGCGGAAGCCUAAUGCAGCAACGCCGCGUGCGGGAUGACGGCCUUCGGGUUGUAAACCGCUUUCGCCUGUGACGAAGCGUGAGUGACGGUAAUGGGUAAAGAAGCACCGGCUAACUACGUG
RNAcentral lists this ribosomal RNA (468 nucleotides) under uncultured bacterium. Its description in RNAcentral is "partial 16S ribosomal RNA". It matches the Rfam family "Bacterial small subunit ribosomal RNA", at positions 28 to 507 of the family's 1533-position model. The record is from RNAcentral.